UUGAGAGUACGUACCUUGGCUUUCAGAAUUUAAAAAAAAAACAGAGAAGAUUAGCAUAGCCCCUGCGCAAGGAUGACACGCAAAUUCGUGGAGCAUUCCAUAUUUUA
This is a small nuclear RNA of Hyla sarda, 107 nucleotides long. Lineage: Eukaryota; Metazoa; Chordata; Amphibia; Anura; Hylidae. The record is from RefSeq and is a predicted model, not a curated record.